Molecule: ribosomal RNA, 650 nt
Filed under: uncultured bacterium
Lineage: Bacteria
Description: bacterial SSU rRNA
Rfam family: Bacterial small subunit ribosomal RNA
Source: RNAcentral
AGAGUUUGAUUCUGGCUCAGGACGAACGCUGGCGGCGUGCCUAACACAUGCAAGUCGAACGGGCCUGGGGGCAACUCCAGGUCAGUGGCGGACGGGUGCGUAACACGUGAGCAACAUGUCCGAUGGUGGGGGAUAGCCGGCCCAACGGCCGGGUAAUACCGCAUGCGGUCAUCGGGGGCAUCCCUGGUGACGAAAGUGGGGGCAACCUCACGCCGACGGAGUGGCUCGCGGCCUAUCAGCUAGUUGGUGGGGUCACGGCUCACCAAGGCUACGACGGGUAGCUGGUCUGAGAGGAUGACCAGCCACAUUGGGACUGAGACACGGCCCAGACUCCUACGGGAGGCAGCAGUGAGGAAUAUUGCGCAAUGGGCGAAUGCCUGACGCAGCGACGCCGCGUGUGGGAUGACGGCCUUCGGGUUGUAAACCACUGUCGGAGGGGACGAAGGCCCGGCGGCGAAUAGUCGACCGGGAUUGACGGUACCCUCAAAGGAAGCACCGGCUAACUCCGUGCCAGCAGCCGCGGUAAUACGGAGGGUGCGAGCGUUGUCCGGAAUCACUGGGCGUAAAGGGUGCGUAGGCGGCUGGGUAAGUCACGUGUGNNNGGCCGGGGCUCAACCCCGGAUCUGCAUGUGAGACUGCCUGGCUCGAGC